CAGAGGUCUCAAGCGUUGUUCGGAUUCAUUGGGCGUAAAGGGUGCGUAGGCGGCAGUGCAAGUCAGGUGUGAAAUCCCGAGGCUCAACCCCGGAACUGCACUUGAUACUGCUCUGCUAGAGUACUGGAGAGGAGACUGGAAUUUACGGUGUAGCAGUGAAAUGCGUAGAUAUCGUAAGGAAGACCAGUGGCGAAGGCGAGUCUCUGGACAGUUACUGACGCUGAGGCACGAAGGCCAGGGGAGCAAACGGGAUUAGAUACCCCGGUAGUCCUGGCAGUAAACGGUGCGCGUUUGGUGUGGGAGGAUUCGACCCCUUCCGUGCCGGAGCUAACGCGUUAAACGCGCCGCCUGGGGAGUACGGUCGCAAGAUUA
This 372-nucleotide ribosomal RNA is filed under the name uncultured organism. RNAcentral's name for it is "bacterial SSU rRNA". It matches the Rfam family "Bacterial small subunit ribosomal RNA", at positions 526 to 896 of the family's 1533-position model. The record is from RNAcentral.